AUUGAACGCUGGCGGCAGGCCUAACACAUGCAAGUCGAGCGGUAGAGAGAAGCUUGCUUCUCUUGAGAGCGGCGGACGGGUGAGUAAUGCCUAGGAAUCUGCCUGGUAGUGGGGGAUAACGUUCGGAAACGGACGCUAAUACCGCAUACGUCCUACGGGAGAAAGCAGGGGACCUUCGGGCCUUGCGCUAUCAGAUGAGCCUAGGUCGGAUUAGCUAGUUGGUGAGGUAAUGGCUCACCAAGGCGACGAUCCGUAACUGGUCUGAGAGGAUGAUCAGUCACACUGGAACUGAGACACGGUCCAGACUCCUACGGGAGGCAGCAGUGGGGAAUUUUGGACAAUGGGCGAAAGCCUGAUCCAGCAAUGCCGCGUGCAGGAUGAAGGCCUUCGGGUUGUAAACUGCUUUUGUACGGAACGAAAAAGCUUCUCCUAAUACGAGAGGCCCAUGACGGUACCGUAAGAAUAAGCACCGGCUAACUACGUGC
RNAcentral lists this ribosomal RNA (485 nucleotides) under uncultured bacterium. RNAcentral describes it as "bacterial SSU rRNA". It matches the Rfam family "Bacterial small subunit ribosomal RNA", at positions 30 to 508 of the family's 1533-position model. The record is from RNAcentral.